CCCGGCAGGCAGUUGGGAGGCUGGAAGGAGCGCUGUGCGGCGCUCCACUGCCUAGCCUGGCGGGAACGUCUCACCAAACCGACACCACCUGUAAAGCUGCGGGGCAGAGUGCGCCCUGCCUGGCACAAUAGGCAUGAGUCAUGGCGAGGAGGAACUGGCCUUGUUGGAGCGGAAGGUGAUCCGCCGGGCAGUCGAGGCUGGGCACGCUCAGAGGGAAUGCGGUCCCUCCCCUUUUCUCCUCUUCCACCCCCUUGCUACAGCGCUAGAUGCAGAGCUGGACCUCCGCAAAACGGUGAAGCGGAAGAAAUUUGGGUCCGCCCAUCUGUCUUUACUGCACUGCGUCCCCCCUCAUCUGCUUUCUGAUCUCUCUUUCGGUUUUUUGUCUCUCUUUGUUUCCCCCCUCAACACAAACGCGGGAGCACACUUACACGCUGUGCGAAAGACGCCAGCCAUAGCCUCUUCAGACUGAAAGGUUAUCCAACCCCAUCCUCCCACUGCUGCUUGAACAAUGUGCUUAACGCGUAGUGCCGCAAUCACUGCAUAGGUUGCACAUGCUCAAGCACAGAUUUUAUGGCCUUGUUACUCAGAAGGCUGCUGGCUUCUGGCCCUGCCUCGACAGUUCCUAAAGAGGUCACAAAUUCUAAGAAUUUAAAGAAUGAGGAAUCAUCAUGGCACCUUUAUUUAUUUGGGGCUGGAUAAACCAGGAGUAGUUUGGAUCUGCUCAAGCAAGCAGCCUGUGGACUUUCAGCUCCAUAGCCAGAUCUGGAAAAGAGGCUGAGGAUUUCAGGACACUGGUGAAAGAAAGAUUGUUUUCUUCUUUUUCCCUGCCUCUGGUACGACACUACUUUAAACCCCAAUAUCUAGUAUAAUGUAUAACAUGUGCAACAUAGGAGGACUACUGGACUCUCAGAUCUUGUUUUCCCAUUUCUAACCACUUGUCCCUGAACAUGUUUUGAGUCCUUAUUUUGGGCAAGGCAAUAUCCUUGGUACUGUAGGGAGUGCAUGGGUAAAAAAGGCACUGUUGUGGGAUGCCU
Molecule: non-coding RNA, 1034 nt
Organism: Leptonychotes weddellii (Weddell seal)
Lineage: Eukaryota; Metazoa; Chordata; Mammalia; Carnivora; Phocidae
Source: RefSeq, a predicted model, not a curated record